RNAcentral lists this ribosomal RNA (254 nucleotides) under uncultured bacterium. RNAcentral describes it as "partial 16S ribosomal RNA". It matches the Rfam family "Bacterial small subunit ribosomal RNA", at positions 524 to 776 of the family's 1533-position model. The record is from RNAcentral.
UACGUAGGGUGCGAGCGUUGUCCGGAAUUAUUGGGCGUAAAGAGCUCGUAGGCGGUGUGUCGCGUCGGCCGUGAAAACCUGGGGCUUAACUCUGGGCGUGCGGUCGAUACGGGCAUCACUGGAGUUCGGCAGGGGAGACUGGAAUUCCUGGUGUAGCGGUGAAAUGCGCAGAUAUCAGGAGGAACACCGGUGGCGAAGGCGGGUCUCUGGGCCGAUACUGACGCUGAGGAGCGAAAGCGUGGGUAGCAAACGGG